CCUACGGGGGGCUGCAGUGAGGAAUAUUGGUCAAUGGGCGCGAGCCUGAACCAGCCAAGUAGCGUGAAGGAUGACUGCCCUACGGGUUGUCAACUUCUUUUAUAAAGGAAUAAAGUGAGGCACGUGUGCCUUUUUGUAUGUACUUUAUGAAUAACGAUCGGCUAACUCCGUGCCAGCAGCCGCGGUAAUACGGAGGAUCCGAGCGUUAUCCGGAUUUAUUUGGUUUAAAGGGAGCGUAGAUGGGUUGUUAAGUCAGUUGUGAAAGGUUGCGGCUCAACCGUAAAAUUGCAAGUGAUACUGGCAGUCUUGAGUACAGUUGAGGUAGGCGGAAUUCGUGGUGGAGCGGUGAAAUGCUUAGAUAUCACGAAGAACUCAGAUUGCGAAGGCAGCUUACUAAACUGCCACUGACAUUGAUGCUCGAAAGUGUGUGUAUCAAACAGGAUUAGAUACCCGGGUAGUC
RNAcentral lists this ribosomal RNA (460 nucleotides) under uncultured bacterium. RNAcentral describes it as "partial 16S ribosomal RNA". It matches the Rfam family "Bacterial small subunit ribosomal RNA", at positions 338 to 795 of the family's 1533-position model. The record is from RNAcentral.